RNAcentral lists this ribosomal RNA (472 nucleotides) under Rhodotorula mucilaginosa. RNAcentral describes it as "partial large subunit ribosomal RNA". It matches the Rfam family "Eukaryotic large subunit ribosomal RNA", at positions 99 to 567 of the family's 3401-position model. Lineage: Eukaryota; Fungi; Basidiomycota; Microbotryomycetes; Sporidiobolales; Sporidiobolaceae. The record is from RNAcentral.
CGGGAAGAGCUCAAAUUUAUAAUCUGGCACCUUCGGUGUCCGAGUUGUAAUCUCUAGAAAUGUUUUCCGCGUUGGACCGCACACAAGUCUGUUGGAAUACAGCGGCAUAGUGGUGAGACCCCCGUAUAUGGUGCGGACGCCCAGCGCUUUGUGAUACAUUUUCGAAGAGUCGAGUUGUUUGGGAAUGCAGCUCAAAUUGGGUGGUAAAUUCCAUCUAAAGCUAAAUAUUGGCGAGAGACCGAUAGCGAACAAGUACCGUGAGGGAAAGAUGAAAAGCACUUUGGAAAGAGAGUUAACAGUACGUGAAAUUGUUGGAAGGGAAACGCUUGAAGUCAGACUUGCUUGCCGAGCAAUCGGUUUGCAGGCCAGCAUCAGUUUUCCGGGAUGGAUAAUGGUAAAGAGAAGGUAGCAGUUUCGGCUGUGUUAUAGCUCUCUACUGGAUACAUCCUGGGGGACUGAGGAACGCAGUGUG